Molecule: ribosomal RNA, 233 nt
Filed under: uncultured bacterium
Lineage: Bacteria
Description: partial 16S ribosomal RNA
Rfam family: Bacterial small subunit ribosomal RNA
Source: RNAcentral
GAUCCUGGCUCAGGAUGAACGCUAGCUACAGGCUUAACACAUGCAAGUCGAGGGGCAGCAUAGUGUUCUAGCAAUAGAAUACGGAUGGCGACCGGCGCACGGGUGAGUAACACGUAUCCAACCUGGCUGUUAUUCGGGGAUAGCCUUGCGAAAGUAAGAUUAAUACAAGAUGUUAUCAUGAGUAAGCAUUUUCGCAUGAUUAAAGGUUUACCGGUGUAAGAUGGGGAUGCGUU